GGACUACCGGGGUAUCUAAUCCCGUUUGCUCCCCUGGCUUUCGCACCUCAGCGUCAGUAAUCAACCAGUGCACCGCUUUCGCCGCCGGAGUUCCUCCCGAUAUCAACGCAUUUCACCGCUCCACCGGGAAUUCCAUGCACCCCUUUGAUCCUCAAGCAACGCAGUACUGGGCGCAGUUCCUCGGUUAGGCCGAGGGAUUUCACACCCAACUUACGUCGCCGCCUACGUGCGCUUUAUGCCCAGUGAUUCCGAACAACGCUCGCCACCUUCGUCUUACCGCGGCUGCUGGCAC
RNAcentral lists this ribosomal RNA (292 nucleotides) under uncultured bacterium. RNAcentral describes it as "partial 16S ribosomal RNA". The record is from RNAcentral.